Molecule: microRNA precursor, 168 nt
Filed under: Pelobates cultripes (western spadefoot toad)
Lineage: Eukaryota; Metazoa; Chordata; Amphibia; Anura; Pelobatidae
Source: RNAcentral
GCAGACACAUUCCAGCCAAUCAGCAGCAGACCCUCCCUCCCAGGCCCUCCCAUCUCCUAGACAGCUCACUAAGAAUGCAGCUUCACAAUGAAUGUAAAAUGGAUGCUGUCCAGGAGGUGGGAGGGCCUGGGAGGGAGGGUCUGCUGCUGAUUGGCUGGAAUGUGUCUG